Long non-coding RNA from Monodelphis domestica (gray short-tailed opossum), 1227 nucleotides. Lineage: Eukaryota; Metazoa; Chordata; Mammalia; Didelphimorphia; Didelphidae. The record is from Ensembl.
AUGGUCUUCAUGGUGAGGCAAAUGCAGGAAAAAUGCCUUGAGCAGAACCUGAGUCUCUACAUUGUCUUCAUAGACCUGACAAAGGCGUUCGACACAGUGAACAGGGACGCAUUGUGGGUGAUCCUCAGCAAGCUCGGUUGCCCAGCAAAAUUCGUCAAACUGAUCCAGCUCUUUCAUGUCGACAUGACAGGGGAAGUCCUAUCUGAUGGAGAGACUUCCGAUCACUUCAGCAUCUCCAAUGGCGUGAAACAAGGCUGUGUCCUUGCUCCAGUACUAUUCAACCUAUUUUUCACCCAAGUCUUACGGCAUGCUGUGAUGGAUCUAGACCUGGGCAUCUACAUCAAAUACCGACUGGAUGGCUCACUAUUUGACCUUCGCCGCCUGACUGCAAAAACAAAGACAACAGAGAGACUCAUCCUGGAAGCUCUCUUUGCAGAUGACUGUGCUCUCAUGGCCCACCAAGAAAAUCAUCUUCAAACCAUUGUGGACAGGUUCUCCACUGCAACAAAACUGUUUGGCCUGACUAUCAGCCUCAGCAAAACAGAGGUGCUGUUCCAACCUGCACCAGGGAGGCCAACUAACCAGCCGUGCAUUACAAUCGAUGGCACGCAGCUUUCUUACGUCAACACUUUCAAGUACCUGGGCAGCACCAUCGCCAACGACGGGUCCCUAGACCACGAGAUUAAUGCCAGGAUCCAAAAGGCCAGCCAGGCACUCGGGCGUCUGCGCUGCAAAGUCCUCCAACACAGAGGUGUAAGCACUAUGACAAAGCUCAAAGUGUAUAACGCAGUGAUCCUCAGCUCGCUCCUGUACAGUUGUGAGACAUGGACACUGUACCGGAAGCACAUGAAACAGUUGGAGCAAUUCCACCAACGCUCCCUCCGGUCAAUCAUGAGGAUCCGAUGGCAGGACCGAAUCACCAAUCAGGAAGUCCUCGACAGAGCCAACUCCACCAGCAUCGAAGUCCUGGUCCUCAAAACCCAGCUACGAUGGUCUGGACACGUCAUCCGCAUGGACCCACAGCGAAUACCAAGACAGGUAUUCUAUGGUGAACUGUCAGCUGGACUCAGGAAACAAGGCCGACCAAAGAAAAGAUUCAAGGAUCAGCUAAAGUCCAACUUGAAGUGGGCUGGCAUCACACCAAAGCACCUAGAACUCGCUGCCUCUGUCAGAAGCAGCUGGCGAACCCACAUUAACCAUGCCGCCUCCACCUUUGAAGAUGAGUGA